CGGGGCUCAACCCCGAACAACACAUCGCCUCGAUAACACCUCGAUAACUUGUAGUGAGAGUCACUCGGCGGUUUGUAUAACACACCGGAGCGACAUAAAGACACCGUUAAAGUAGACCAGCAAGUAGUGCAGGCUGCUGUAGACACGGGACGUGGAAGGGAGGCAGCGGGAGCAGCAACACGGGAGCAGCAACACUGGAGCAGCAACGCUGGAGCGCAACACGGAACAAGAAGAAGAAGCGUGGCACAGAAAAUGGUUGUUACAUUGUUACGACGCGACCACUGAUUCGAUACACUGUUAUUAUUUACACUGUUUUUUUGGUUUGUUUUUUAUAAAACUGUUACAAAAGUAUCCGAUACGCGCAGCUGCUUUAUGAACAGUCUCCAGAUCAAGUUAACAACGAGACGUUAUCUUACAAACACAGAUGCAUUUGGAGGAGCCUAUUCAUUGUGAUUGUCGUGUUGCUGUAAUAUUUUCGACGUGUUUUUUGGGGGGUUGGUUGGUUGGUUAUUUAUUCGUGAGAGCUGUGGGUUUAUGAUCGUGUCGUUAUUGUGUAACUAAACAAGGUGUGUGUGAAACAGCCAGUCCUGUUUCCACUGGGUUUCUCCUCCAUUUGUCUCCGCUGCAUGUGGCCCGCUCAGCCCCCGCUCCCAGCAGUAAAAUGGGGGAAGGGUUGAGGAGGGGGGAUCUACACUAAUGAAUGAAACCAAAACCUCGUGAGUUACAACAAUCCACGCCGAAUGGCAGACGGAUCAUGAAGACAGACAUUUAUAGAAACAUACGGGUUAAAUGACUUAUGGUUGUAUAGCUUGUCUUUACGCCCGACCCUUUAAAUAUUGUUGUUGUUGUACAGGUUAGGUUUUCUUUACGCCUGGUUUUAAAAGUAGCGAGGAUCAUUAAAAAUGCUAAAAUAUAUUUUUUAAACAAUUCAAAUAAAUACACCAUGAAAAUA
This is a non-coding RNA of Salmo salar (Atlantic salmon), 952 nucleotides long. NCBI's taxonomy places the organism in Eukaryota, Metazoa, Chordata, Actinopteri, Salmoniformes, Salmonidae. The record is from RefSeq and is a predicted model, not a curated record.